CAACUACUCCCUUCGUCCACAAAUACUUGUUGGAAAAAUGAAUAAAAGAGAAUGUAUCUAUAACUAAAAUACGUCUAGAUAUAUCCAUUUCUCCAACAAGUAUUUCCGGACGGAGGGAGUAUUUU
Molecule: non-coding RNA, 125 nt
Organism: Triticum urartu
Lineage: Eukaryota; Viridiplantae; Streptophyta; Magnoliopsida; Poales; Poaceae
Source: Rfam